RNAcentral lists this ribosomal RNA (53 nucleotides) under Actenodia distincta. RNAcentral describes it as "partial 28S large subunit ribosomal RNA". Lineage: Eukaryota; Metazoa; Arthropoda; Insecta; Coleoptera; Meloidae. The record is from RNAcentral.
UGCGACCUCAGGUUAGGUGAGACUACCCGCUAAAUUUAAGCAUAUUAAUAACG